RNAcentral lists this ribosomal RNA (834 nucleotides) under uncultured bacterium. RNAcentral describes it as "bacterial SSU rRNA". It matches the Rfam family "Bacterial small subunit ribosomal RNA", at positions 8 to 831 of the family's 1533-position model. The record is from RNAcentral.
AGAGUUUGAUCCUGGCUCAGGAUGAACGCUAGCUACAGGCUUAACACAUGCAAGUCGAGGGGCAGCAGGACGGUAGCUUGCUACUGUCGCUGGCGACCGGCGCACGGGUGAGUAACGCGUAUCCAACCUUCCCCUGAGUAGGGAAUAGCCCGGCGAAAGUCGGAUUAAUGCCCUAUGCUGUCCGACGAUAGCAUUUGAAUCGGAUGAAAGAUUUAUCGCUCAGGGAUGGGGAUGCGUCUGAUUAGGUUGCAGGCGGGGUAACGGCCCACCUGGCCGACGAUCAGUAGGGGUUCUGAGAGGAAGGUCCCCCACAUUGGAACUGAGACACGGUCCAAACUCCUACGGGAGGCAGCAGUGAGGAAUAUUGGUCAAUGGGCGAGAGCCUGAACCAGCCAAGUAGCGUGCAGGAAGACGGCCCUAUGGGUUGUAAACUGCUUUUGGAGGGGAAUAAAGUGGCGUACGUGUACGCCUUUGUAUGUACCCUCAGAAUAAGGACCGGCUAAUUCCGUGCCAGCAGCCGCGGUAAUACGGAAGGUCCGGGCGUUAUCCGGAUUUAUUGGGUUUAAAGGGAGCGCAGGCCGCCGAUUAAGCGUGACGUGAAAUGUCCCGGCUCAACCGGGGAGUUGCGUCGCGAACUGGUUGGCUUGAGUGCGGACGAGGUAUGCGGAAUUCGUGGUGUAGCGGUGAAAUGCUUAGAUAUCACGAAGAACCCCGAUUGCGAAGGCAGCGUACCAGGCCGUAACUGACGCUAAUGCCCGAAGGUGCGGGUAUCGAACAGGAUUAGAUACCCUGGUAGUCCGCACGGUAAACGAUGGAUGCCCCCUGUUUGCGAUA